GACUCUACUUGACUAGCUGAGAGGAGGUGCAUGGCCGUCGUCAGUUCGUACUGUGAAGCAUCCUGUUAAGUCAGGCAACGAGCGAGACCCACGCCAACAGUUGCCAGCUCGUCCUCCGGGAUGGUGGGGGACACUGUUGGGACCGCCUCUGCGUAAAGAGGAGGAAGGAAUGGGCAACGGUAGGUCAGCAUGCCCCGAAUUAUCUGGGCUACACGCGGGCUACAAUGGGUGGGACAAUGGGUAUCGACACCGAAAGGUGAAGGCAAUCUCCUAAACCCAUCCGUAGUUCGGAUUGUGGGCUGCAACUCGCCCACAUGAAGCUGGAAUCUGUAGUAAUCGUGUCUCAAAAUGGCACGGUGAAUAUGUCCCUGCUCCUU
RNAcentral lists this ribosomal RNA (377 nucleotides) under uncultured Methanomicrobiales archaeon. RNAcentral's name for it is "bacterial SSU rRNA". It matches the Rfam family "Archaeal small subunit ribosomal RNA", at positions 964 to 1338 of the family's 1478-position model. Lineage: Archaea; Methanobacteriati; Methanobacteriota; Methanomicrobia; Methanomicrobiales. The record is from RNAcentral.